This 235-nucleotide long non-coding RNA is filed under the name Mytilus galloprovincialis (Mediterranean mussel). The record is from RNAcentral. Lineage: Eukaryota; Metazoa; Mollusca; Bivalvia; Mytilida; Mytilidae.
UCUGCCCUUGCAUUUGAGUUGCGUUCCCUUAUGUGGCAUAGUUGGAAAAAAUUGAUCAGACAAAUGUUUUCGUUUUUUUGUAAAAUACAACCACAAAUAUGAUAAAACAUGUCAUUUUCUAUACCGAAGUGGAAGUUCUUACACAUGAAUUACCCACUACUCUAAAAAUUUGCACAUUCUAUUAAAGAUCUAGACCUUGUUUUCUGGUAUUUCCAAAUCCAAGAUGGAGGAAGAC